UUCCUGGUGGUUUAGACGGUAAAGUAUCUGCCUACAAUGCAGGAGACCUGGGUUCGAUCCCUGGGUCGGAAA
RNAcentral lists this transfer RNA (72 nucleotides) under Bos taurus (domestic cattle). It matches the Rfam family "tRNA". Rfam says of the family: Transfer RNA (tRNA) molecules are approximately 80 nucleotides in length. The record is from Rfam by way of RNAcentral. RNAcentral also lists the same sequence under 4 other names. Lineage: Eukaryota; Metazoa; Chordata; Mammalia; Artiodactyla; Bovidae.